Molecule: ribosomal RNA, 376 nt
Filed under: uncultured archaeon
Lineage: Archaea
Description: bacterial SSU rRNA
Rfam family: Archaeal small subunit ribosomal RNA
Source: RNAcentral
ACUUUACCAUGCGGGCAACCGUGAUAAGGAAACCCCGAGUGCCAGCACAGGCUGGCUGUCCGCCAGUUUAAACAACUGGCGAAGAAAGGGCCGGGCAAGACCGGUGCCAGCCGCCGCGGUAAUACCGGCGGCUCGAGUGGUGGCCGCUAUUACUGGGCUUAAAGGGUCCGUAGCUUGAUAAUAGGGUCCCUUGAGAAAUCCGCCGGCUUAACUGGCGGGCGUUCAGGGGAAACUUGUUUUCUAGGGACCGGGAGAGGUGAGGGGUACUGCCGGGGUAGGAGUGAAAUCCUGUAAUCCCGGUGGGACCACCUAUGGCGAAGGCAUCUCACCAGAACGGGUCCGACAGUGAGGGACGAAAGCUGGGGGAGCAAACCGG